This 440-nucleotide ribosomal RNA is filed under the name uncultured bacterium. Its description in RNAcentral is "bacterial SSU rRNA". It matches the Rfam family "Bacterial small subunit ribosomal RNA", at positions 954 to 1392 of the family's 1533-position model. The record is from RNAcentral.
GCAUAACGCGAAGAACCUUACCAGGUCUUGACAUCCCUUUGACCGUCCUAGAGAUAGGGCUUUCCUUCGGGACAGAGGAGACAGGUGGUGCAUGGUUGUCGUCAGCUCGUGUCGUGAGAUGUUGGGUUAAGUCCCGCAACGAGCGCAACCCUUGAACUUAGUUGCCAGCGAGUCAGGUCGGGCACUCUAGGUUGACUGCCGGUGACAAACCGGAGGAAGGCGGGGAUGACGUCAAAUCAUCAUGCCCCUUAUGACCUGGGCUACACACGUACUACAAUGGCCGGUACAAAGGGCAGCGAAGCCGCGAGGUGGGGCCAAUCCCAGCAAAGCCGGUCUCAGUUCGGAUUGCAGGCUGCAACUCGCCUGCAUGAAGUCGGAAUUGCUAGUAAUCGCGGAUCAGCAUGCCGCGGUGAAUACGUUCCCGGGUCUUGUACACACCG